UACACUCCUACGGGAGGCAGCAGUGGGGAAUUUUGGACAAUGGGCGAAAGCCUGAUCCAGCAAUGCCGCGUGAGUGAAGAAGGCCUUCGGGUUGUAAAGCUCUUUUGUCAGGGAAGAAACGGUGAGAGCUAAUAUCUCUUGCUAAUGACGGUACCUGAAGAAUAAGCACCGGCUAACUACGUGCCAGCAGCCGCGGUAAUACGUAGGGUGCAAGCGUUAAUCGGAAUUACUGGGCGUAAAGCGUGCGCAGGCGGUUUUGUAAGUCUGAUGUGAAAUCCCCGGGCUCAACCUGGGAAUUGCAUUGGAGACUGCAAGGCUAGAAUCUGGCAGAGGGGGGUAGAAUUCCACGUGUAGCAGUGAAAUGCGUAGAUAUGUGGAGGAACACCGAUGGCGAAGGCAGCCCCCUGGGUCAAGAUUGACGCUCAUGCACGAAAGCGUGGGGAGCAAACAGGAUUAGAUACCCUUGUAGUCCCAUGA
This 477-nucleotide ribosomal RNA is filed under the name uncultured organism. RNAcentral's name for it is "partial 16S ribosomal RNA". It matches the Rfam family "Bacterial small subunit ribosomal RNA", at positions 332 to 800 of the family's 1533-position model. The record is from RNAcentral.